Heterocephalus glaber (naked mole-rat) is the source of this 573-nucleotide long non-coding RNA. Lineage: Eukaryota; Metazoa; Chordata; Mammalia; Rodentia; Bathyergidae. The record is from Ensembl.
UACAAGCUCAAGUUCUAAGCCCUUGAGCCAGAAUUCAAGGCGCCCCCAUCUGCCCCACUCCAAUUCCCAACUGCCCUCUUUCCACCCGCCCUACAAACUGUUCCAACUGCCCAGCCAGUUCCCAGCCUUCCGAAGACGCCUUGCAGUCUCCCUCUCCUGGGGCCUGCCAGACACACGAAUUAAUCAUCGGUUAUCCCAGUUGCACACCUGUACGGAGAAGAGACCCUGGCAUGCGCAGAGCGAGCCAGCUGAGACUGGGCAAGCAAGAGGGACAGGGACACAGGCCAACAGGAGCCCAGCCUGGUAGUAGCCACGUGGCACCCUCCACUAUCCCGUGCCAGAUGGAGAAAGGAGGGGCAGAGUUGGGUUCCUGCAGGGCCGGCCAUCCAGGUUCUCCAGCCAAGUUACUUCCUGCUGCUCCUCUAGGAGCCCAUGCUGCUGGACAAACCAGCCGAGCCACAGGACAAAUGUAAGACGAAUACUCCAAGAAGAACUAAAUGCAGAAAAAUUAUCACUUCAAACACUUAGACCCAAGUACAGUCCUUCCUACCAAAGGGGAAUGGCCAGUCUGAU